GAUCGAGGCUCGUAAGUCCAUCGGUCCACACAGUUGUCCAUGUACCAGUGGAAGAUUCUGCAGCUACCGCUGCACCUGCUUCUUCAGGCGGAACUCCAGGUUGAAACCUUGGAAAGUUUUAACAUAAGCAUAAGGGAUUCGCAAAUCUUCCAGACGUAGAGCACGCAAGGCCUUGAACCCAAAUACAUUACCUACAAUGGAGGUAAACAUGUUAGUAACAGAACCUUCUUCAGAAAGGUCUAAGGGAUAAGCUACAUAAGCAAUAAAUUGAUUAUCUUCUCCAGGAACAGGCUCGAUCUCGUAGCAGCGUCCUUUAUAACGAUCGAGGCUCGUAAGUCCAUCGGUCCACACAGUUGUCCAUGGACCAGUGGAAGAUUCUGCAGCUACCGCUGCACCUGCUUCUUCAGGCGGAACUCCAGGUUGAGGAGUUACUCGGAAUGCUGCCAAGAUAUCAGUAUCUUUGGUUUGAUAGUCAGGAGUAUAAUAAGUCAGUUUAUAAUCUUUAACACCAGCUUUGAACCCAACCUUUGCUUUCGUUUCUGUUUGUGGUGACAUAAAUCUCCCCCUACAACGCAUGAAUUAAGAAUUAUAGCAACAACAACAAGGUCUACUCGACAUAACUUGGAUUCCGUGAGGAGGACCUUGGAAAGUUUUAACAUAAGCAUAAGGGAUUCGCAAAUCUUCCAGACGUAGAGCACGCAAGGCCUUGAACCCAAAUACAUUACCUACAAUGGAGGUAAACAUGUUGGUAACAGAACCUUCUUCAAAAAGGUCUAAGGGAUAAGCUACAUAAGCAAUAAAUUGAUUAUCUUCUCCAGGAACAGGCUCGAUCUCGUAGCAGCGUCCUUUAUAACGAUCGAGGCUCGUAAGUCCAUCAGUCCACACAGUUGUCCAUGUACCAGUGGAAGAUUCUGCAGCUACCGCUGCACCUGCUUCUUCAGGCGGAACUCCAGGUUGAGGAGUUACUCGGAAUGCUGCCAAGAUAUCAGUAUCUUUGGUUUGAUAGGCAGGAGUAUAAUAAGUCAAUUUAUAAUCUUUAACACCAGCUUUGAACCCAACCUUUGCUUUCGUUUCUGUUUGUGGUGACAUAAAUCUCCCCCUACAACGCAUGAAUUAAGAAUUAUAGCAACAACAAAGAACCCAACCUUUGCUUUCGUUUCUGUUUGUGGUGACAUAAAUCUCCCCCUACAACGCAUGAAUUAAGAAUUAUAGCAACAACAACAAGGUCUACUCGACAUAACUUAGGAGUUAAUAAAACCUUUUCACAAAUGAUCCAUCAACUAAUAUUAUCAAUGAAUCCGAAUGGGUCAUUGUUAAAUUUUACCAUGAUAUUUGAUUUGGGAAAUACAUCAUUAUUCUAUACUCUUUCAUAUGUAUGGCGCAACCCAACCG
This 1392-nucleotide long non-coding RNA is filed under the name Lathyrus oleraceus (garden pea). RNAcentral's name for it is "Pisum sativum (pea) long non-coding RNA (PSAT_LNC011335)". The record is from RNAcentral. Lineage: Eukaryota; Viridiplantae; Streptophyta; Magnoliopsida; Fabales; Fabaceae.